Carassius carassius (crucian carp) is the source of this 2121-nucleotide long non-coding RNA. RefSeq lists it as uncharacterized. The record is from RefSeq and is a predicted model, not a curated record. The transcript is spliced from 7 exons. NCBI's taxonomy places the organism in Eukaryota, Metazoa, Chordata, Actinopteri, Cypriniformes, Cyprinidae.
AGGAAAAGUGCUAGUAUUAGUUGGUUAAGUGCUGGCGAAAAAGAUGAGUCUUUAGAUGUUUCUUGAAAAUGAGUAAAGACUCAAGAGGUCAUUCCACAGGCUGGGCGCAAUUUUUGUCUCUAUGUUUUUCUGUGACCCUGCUGCUCCAAUGAACAUUUCUUAACCAGUGGCCACACCAUAAUUUUUUAUGGUACAGUGAUAGAUCAUCUUAAAUAUUAGAAGAGAAUUCAGUCUUAUGAAUUCAGAUUAUUGAGGUGGUUUAUUGCAGAGUAUUGCAGCAUGGUUACAGAAAUGUUACUGGAAUUUUAAUGUUAGAAGAACGUUAGGGGAUUAUUCUCCUUAUGCAGUUGCUCCAUAUCAAAGGGGGCACAUUAUUACCUUUUAAAAGGGUGACAGCUUUUGCAAAUUUUUUCCUGAGGGUUUAUUUUAUCUGCUCUUAUACAGGUUUGCAUUUUAUGGCAGAUAUUUCUAGGUAAUUUCCAGUAUAGGUAUAUCUAUUAAAAAAGGACUGUUUAUCUUAGAUAUUUGUGGCUCUUAGGCUCUCUUGUAUCUCUUUGGUUAUAUUAUCACUGUUACGCCAACAGUCUACAUGUCUGUCUCUGGACUAUAGUUAUCUCCCCUUUAUACUUGUUUGCAUUUUACUGGUAGAAAAUAUUUCUAGGUAAUUUUCAGGUAGCUAUAUCUACCUAGAAUAUUGUGUAUAGCAUUUGUAUAAUAUAUGGGCGGUCUUAAAAUCACAGCUAUAUUAAGACGAUUCAUCUUGGUUUACCAUCCUCGGUGCUCCAACCUUGGUCUUGAAUACCCAGCUGAAGAUUUGCAUUGAGACUGCAGAAAAGAAAGAACUGGCAGAAUGGCAGAUUCUCCGAUUUUUCACAAACCAACACAGUCCGCAAUUACUCAAGGGAUUACAAUCACAGGGGGCUUGAAGGAAGGGAAGACUAUUGUCAUAAUUGGACGGAUUUUGUCAAAUGCUCACAAAUCAUAUAUCAGCCUUAAGGAUGGUACUCAUCCCUCUGCUAAAACUGCUCUGUGCAUUAGCCCACACUUUGAGGAUGAUCACCCACAUAUACUGUACAAGACCUUCCAAAACGAUAGCUGGGACUCAGAUCAACCCACUUCUAAGUCUCCUCUCCUCCAAGGCCAACUGUUCACCAUCAAGAUCCUUGUCACCGCACAGGCAUAUAAGAUAAGUGCCAACGGGGAAGAAUUAAUGGUCUAUAAUCACCGUAUGCCAUUCACUCAAAUGAACAUCAUCUCAGUGGAGGGAAUGGAGCUGGAUUUCUUUGGCCAUCUUUUGGUGGCAUCGUACAAAAAAGAACUGAUCAAUGGAUUAAAGCUUGAGACAGUCAUUGUUAUUCAUUGAACUGUUAACUCUGACUGUAAAAGGAUUGAGAUUAAUCUGCGCCACAGGUAUGGGAUUGCAUUUCACUACCUGUGCCGUUUUGAGGAGAAUGCAGUUGUUCGCAAUACCUGGAAGAACGGGCAGUGGGAGGAAGAAGAAAAGAGUCAAGACAUCCCUUUUAAAAAUGGAGAGUUCUUUGAGAUGAAAAUCACCUGCAAAGCAGAGCAGUAUGAUGUGUCAGUAAACGGCCAGCAAGCACACACUUACAAGCAUCGCUUUACUAAUCUGGAUGACAUCGAUGUUGUUGAAGUUUGUGGAGGUCUACAGUUGUUUUCUGUGGAAGUCAAGGAUCCAUAGGAAGUGCGUAUUUAAAACUUCCACAAAUAAGUUCAUAUGCUUAAAACAUUUUUUUGUUGUUAAUGGCUUUGAAAUAUUAAACUGCUGGUGAUAACAUAUAAUUUUUUUCUGCCACUAUUUUAACUAUUGUAAAAUGUUAGGUGACACAUGCAAUGUCUCAGCUUCCAGACAGAUAUCACUAAAAUAGGUGUCCUAGGAAAUCCUGACUAUGUUUGCAAUAGAAUGCUACCACACACCUUGUAUCACAGCACUCUGUUCUGUAUGCAUAAAAUAACCUUUGUCAAACUGAGCAGUGACCUAUACAACAUAUAGUAUUGUAUGGAAUGCUGUAUCUCAUAAUGCAUGCAACUGAACCUUUUAAAACAUUUCAGUUUAAUAAAUACUAUAUUAGGAGUAAUGUGUAGCUAAUGUUUCAAUGACUA